Molecule: ribosomal RNA, 996 nt
Filed under: Pseudolophiotrema elymicola
Lineage: Eukaryota; Fungi; Ascomycota; Dothideomycetes; Pleosporales
Description: SSU rRNA
Rfam family: Eukaryotic small subunit ribosomal RNA
Source: RNAcentral
UGGCUCAUUAAAUCAGUUAUCGUUUAUUUGAUAGUACCUUACUACUUGGAUAACCGUGGUAAUUCUAGAGCUAAUACAUGCUUAAAACCCCGACUUCGGAAGGGGUGUAUUUAUUAGAUAAAAAACCAAUGCCCUCCGGGGCUCCUUGGUGAUUCAUGAUAACUUAACGGAUCGCAUGGCCUUGCGCCGGCGACGGUUCAUUCAAAUUUCUGCCCUAUCAACUUUCGAUGGUAAGGUAUUGGCUUACCAUGGUUUCAACGGGUAACGGGGAAUUUUGUUCGAUUCCGGAGAGUCCGCCCGAGAAACGGCGAACACAUCCAAGGAAGGCAGCAGGCGCGCAAAUUACCCAAUGCUAAUUCAGCGAGGUAGUGACAAUAAAUACUGAUACAGGGCUCUUUUGGGUCUUGUAAUCGGAAUGAGUACAAUUUAAAUCCAUUAACGAGGAACAAUUGGAGGGCAAGUCUGGUGCCAGCAGCCGCGGUAAUUCCAGCUCCAAUAGCGUAUACUAAAGUUGUUGCAGUUAAAAAGCUCGUAGUUGAACCUUGGGCCUGACUGGCCGGUCCGCCUCACCGCGUGCACUGGUCCGGUCGGGCCUUUCCUCCUGGAGAGCCGCAUGCCCUUCGCUGGGUGUGUUGGGGAACCAGGACUUUUACUUUGAAAAAAUUAGAGUGUUCAAAGCAGGCCUUUGCUCGAAUACGUUAGCAUGGAAUAAUGGAAUAGGACGUGCGGUCCUAUUUUGUUGGUUUCUAGGACCGCCGUAAUGAUUAAUAGGGAUAGUCGGGGGCAUCAGUAUUCAAUUGUCAGAGGUGAAAUUCUUGGAUUUAUUGAAGACUAACUACUGCGAAAGCAUUUGCCAAGGAUGUUUUCAUUAAUCAGUGAACGAAAGUUAGGGGAUCGAAGACGAUCAGAUACCGUCGUAGUCUUAACCGUAAACGAUGCCGGCUAGCGAUCGGUUGGUGUUUUUAUCUUGACCCAACCGGCAGCUUACGAGAAAUC